RNAcentral lists this ribosomal RNA (400 nucleotides) under uncultured bacterium. RNAcentral describes it as "bacterial SSU rRNA". It matches the Rfam family "Bacterial small subunit ribosomal RNA", at positions 355 to 753 of the family's 1533-position model. The record is from RNAcentral.
UAGGGAAUAUUGGACAAUGGGCGGAAGCCUGAUCCAGCCAUGCCGCGUGCAGGAAGAAGGCGUUAUGCGUUGUAAACUGCUUUUGAUGGGGAAUAAAAAGGCUCUGCGGAGCAAAUUGCAGGUACCCAUAGAAUAAGCCACGGCUAACUACGUGCCAGCAGCCGCGGUAAUACGUAGGUGGCGAGCGUUAUCCGGAUUUAUUGGGUUUAAAGGGUGCGUAGGCGGUUUAAUAAGUCAGUGGUGAAAGUAGGCAGCUCAACUGUCUGACUGCCAUUGAUACUGUUAGGCUAGAGUAUAGUAGAGGUAGGCGGAAUUUAGGGUGUAGCGGUGAAAUGCAUAGAUACCCUAAAGAACACCGAUUGCGUAGGCAGCUUACUGGACUAUAACUGACGCUGAGGCA